CCUACGGGUGGCAGCAGUGGGGAAUAUUGCACAAUGGGGGAAACCCUGAUGCAGCGACGCCGCGUGAGGGAAGAAGGAUUUCGGUAUGUAAAGCUUUGUCAGCAGGGAAGAAAAUGACGGUACCUGAGUAAGAAGCCCCGGCUAACUACGUGCCAGCAGCCGCGGUAAUACGUAGGGGGCAAGCGUUAUCCGGAUUUACUGGGUGUAAAGGGAGCGUAGACGGGGAAUUAAGUCUGAAGUGAAAGCCCGCGGCUCAACCGAGGAACUGCUGUGGAAACUUUUUUGCUUGAGUACCGGAGAGGUAAGCGGAAUUCCUAGUGUAGCGGUGAAAUGCGUAGAUAUUAGGAGGAACACCAGUGGCGAAGGCGGCUUACUGGACGGUAACUGACGUUGAGGCACGAAAGCGUGGGGAGCAAACAGGAUUAGAUACCCUUGUAGUC
This 440-nucleotide ribosomal RNA is filed under the name uncultured bacterium. RNAcentral's name for it is "partial 16S ribosomal RNA". It matches the Rfam family "Bacterial small subunit ribosomal RNA", at positions 338 to 795 of the family's 1533-position model. The record is from RNAcentral.